Molecule: ribosomal RNA, 439 nt
Filed under: uncultured Entrophospora
Lineage: Eukaryota; Fungi; Glomeromycota; Glomeromycetes; Entrophosporales; Entrophosporaceae
Description: SSU rRNA
Rfam family: Eukaryotic small subunit ribosomal RNA
Source: RNAcentral
AGCAGCCGCGGUAAUUCCAGCUCCAAUAGCGUAUAUUAAAGUUGUUGCAGUUAAAAAGCUCGUAGUUGAAUUUCGGGAUUGGCGCAUCGGUCGUGCCUUACGGGGUAUGAACUGGUGCAGUCAAUUUCUCACCUUCUGGAGAACCGCGAUGUCCUUAAUUGGGUGCCGCGGGGAACCAGGACCUUUACUUUGAAAAAUUAGAGUGUUUAAAGCAGGCAUUUUUGCUUGAAUACAUUAGCAUGGAAUAAUAAAAUAGGACGGCAUGGUUCUAUUUUGUUGGUUUCUAGGACCACCGUAAUGAUUAAUAGGGAUAGUUGGGGGCAUUAGUAUUCAAUUGUCAGAGGUGAAAUUCUUGGAUUUAUUGAAGACUAACUACUGCGAAAAGCAUUUGCCAAGGAUGUUUUCAUUAAUCAAGAACGAAAGUUAGGGGAUCGAAGAC